ACAACAUUCGUGGACCGUCGGUCUACCGAGCAAUAUUACCGGCUCCGUGGAAGAUCUUCCCUUUGUCAC
Molecule: microRNA precursor, 69 nt
Filed under: Bombyx mori (domestic silkworm)
Lineage: Eukaryota; Metazoa; Arthropoda; Insecta; Lepidoptera; Bombycidae
Description: mir-2774 microRNA precursor family
Rfam family: mir-2774 microRNA precursor family
Source: Rfam by way of RNAcentral